RNAcentral lists this long non-coding RNA (203 nucleotides) under Mytilus galloprovincialis (Mediterranean mussel). Lineage: Eukaryota; Metazoa; Mollusca; Bivalvia; Mytilida; Mytilidae. The record is from RNAcentral.
GUGCUGGAUGUUCUCGCUGUGUCAACCCAUUAGUGGCCUUUGGCUAUUUCUGCUCUUGGUGGGGUUGUUGCCUUUUUGACACCUUCCCUGUUUCCAAUUAAUAAAAUGUGAAUUCUGCAAAAAUCUUGAGGAAUCCAAAAAAGGUUUUGCUUUCAUUCUUGACUUUAAGAUCAUAUUAAUCAUGUUAAUGCUAGACAAAAAAC